This 404-nucleotide unclassified non-coding RNA is filed under the name fungal sp. RNAcentral's name for it is "partial internal transcribed spacer region". The stretch from base 1 to 46 matches the Rfam family "Eukaryotic small subunit ribosomal RNA", at positions 1786 to 1831 of the family's 1831-position model. Lineage: Eukaryota; Fungi. The record is from RNAcentral.
AAGUCGUAACAAGGUUUCCGUAGGUGAACCUGCGGAAGGAUCAUUAACACGUCUUGUGCGCCCGUUCGGACAGCAAUCCCUAGUAAAUCAUUGUUGAACAGAGUUUGAUUUAGGGACCUCUGUACGGAAGGACUGCGGUUUGCGUGCAUUUGAGUGGUAGCGCAAGCAUCCUGGUGCCUUUUAGACGGUUAUCGUGUGGAAGUGACGAUAACGUUACCGUGUGUCAGUGACGGUAACCUGUCAACGAGGUGACUCCGAAACACGUUUGCUAGAGGUCACACGACCGGCAACCGGGAUCCAGGCCGAAAGGUCCCUAACCACCCCUCGCAAGAAUUUAGCGUGCACCUAACGGUCGUACGCACCCCCAAACUGAACAACUGUUAACAAUGGAUAUCUUGGUUCUC